CGCGUAGGCGGCCUGCUAAGUCAGGUGUGAAAACUUAAGGCUCAACCUUAAGAUGGCAUUUGAAACUGACAGGCUUGAGGGCAGGAGAGGAGAGCGGAAUUCCUAGUGUAGCAGUGAAAUGCGUAGAUAUUAGGAGGAACACCAGUGGCGAAGGCGGCUCUCUGGACUGAACCUGACGCUGAGGUGCGAAAGCCAGGGGAGCAAACG
Molecule: ribosomal RNA, 207 nt
Filed under: uncultured Clostridia bacterium
Lineage: Bacteria; Bacillati; Bacillota; Clostridia
Also listed under: 1 other name
Description: partial 16S ribosomal RNA
Rfam family: Bacterial small subunit ribosomal RNA
Source: RNAcentral